This 343-nucleotide unclassified non-coding RNA is filed under the name Hevea brasiliensis (rubber tree). The record is from RNAcentral. Lineage: Eukaryota; Viridiplantae; Streptophyta; Magnoliopsida; Malpighiales; Euphorbiaceae.
UGGUGGAGCUGAGAGCGGGCAUGAAGAUCUCCCGGAUCUUCGAUUGGACCCUCAACGCAUUUCGUCUGUGGUGGCGAACGGAUUUGAAAGGAAAUGUGGAAGGCGGGGGGGGGAAAGAGGAAGUGAAGGGGAUGGGUUUGGGAGAUGGGGAUUUUGGAGAGGAAAGGAGAGGAGGAAGCCAUGGGAAGGAGAAUGAGGGAUUGGAGAGAAAGAGAGAGGGAGAGGAAAGGGGUGUGGAUGUGUGUGGGAGGGUAGGAGAGGAGGGAAAAAGAGAGAAAGCGGGCGGAGAAGACGAUGAGAGGGUGGGUGGACGAUUUGAUCUGCCCCACUCUGUUUCCAUCGC